ACUCAAAUGAAUAGACGGGGAUCCGCACAAGCGGUGGAGCGCGUUGUUCAAUUCGUAGCUAAACGAAGAACCUUACCAGGGUUUGACAUCUAUGGAAUCUCGGAGAAACUCGAGAGUGCCCGCAAGGGAGCCAUAAGACAGGUGCUGCAUGGCUGUCGUCAGUUCGUGUUGUGAGAUGUUAGGUUAAGUCCUUUAACGAGCGCAACCCUUACUGUAUGUUACAUUUCUUACAGGACUGCCUCGCUAAAACGAGGAGGAAGGUGGGGAUGACGUCCAGUCCGCAUGGCCUUUAUACCCUGGGCUACAAACACGCUACAAUGGUCGAGACAAAGGGUUGCAAAACAGCAAUGUUAAGCUAAUCCCAAAAACUCGAUCUCAGUUCGGAUUGCCGGCUGCAACUCGCCGGCAUGAAGUUGGAAUCGCUAGUAACCGUGUGUCAGCAUGGCACGGUGAAUACGUUCUCGGAUCUUGCACACACCGCCCGU
RNAcentral lists this ribosomal RNA (485 nucleotides) under uncultured bacterium. RNAcentral's name for it is "partial 16S ribosomal RNA". It matches the Rfam family "Bacterial small subunit ribosomal RNA", at positions 899 to 1397 of the family's 1533-position model. The record is from RNAcentral.